RNAcentral lists this unclassified non-coding RNA (292 nucleotides) under uncultured fungus. RNAcentral's name for it is "partial contains small subunit ribosomal RNA, internal transcribed spacer 1, and 5.8S ribosomal RNA". The stretch from base 1 to 73 matches the Rfam family "Eukaryotic small subunit ribosomal RNA", at positions 1759 to 1831 of the family's 1831-position model. The record is from RNAcentral. Lineage: Eukaryota; Fungi.
GCAAACUUGGUCAUUUAGAGGAAGUAAAAGUCGUAACAAGGUUUCCGUAGGUGAACCUUCGGAAGGAUCAUUACCGUAACGCGGCGGUUUGGCACCCGUAAAGGGGGCCGGCCGCCACACGCGUUUAUCCCACCCUUGAUUUUGAGCACCUUUUGUUUCCUCGGCGGGGACGCCCGCCAGCGAGGACCCCCCGAACUCUUUGCAGUUUGCAGUAUUUGUCUGAAAAACAAACCAAACAUUUAAAACUUUCAACAAUGGAUCUCUUGGUUCUGGCAUCGAUGAAGAACGCAGC